Sarcophilus harrisii (Tasmanian devil) is the source of this 1423-nucleotide long non-coding RNA. RefSeq lists it as uncharacterized. The record is from RefSeq and is a predicted model, not a curated record. The transcript has 3 exons. Lineage: Eukaryota; Metazoa; Chordata; Mammalia; Dasyuromorphia; Dasyuridae.
AACAACAGCAUCCCCAAAUGGUACAGUAGACAAAGCCCUGAGUUUAGAAAUAGGACACCCUGAGUGAUUAUGGACAAGCCACUUAAUUGCUCUCAGAUUCAGUAUCUUUUCUUAAUUUGGUGUUACCUGGAGUAGCUACUUCACAGGAUUGUUAUAAAGAUUAGAUGAGGAAAUAUAUGCAUAGGAUGCUUACAAAGUUUUCCCCCAUUAUGGGGAAAGGUAAGAUUUCUGCUGUUCUCUCCCUGGGUGAAGCCUCACUAGAAUACUAUGGUGGGCCUUGCAGGAUAAGAGACACUGACAAUCAGAAGAGUAUACAAAGACAUUUGGCCAGGACAACAAGGAAACUUGAGCCCAUGCCCUAUAAGGAUUUGUCAAAAGACCAAGAGAUGUUUAGUCUGGAGAAGAGAAGUCUUGGGCCAAGAAGAAGACCAUAACUGCUACCUUCAGACAUGUGGAGGAUUAUGUAGAAAAACAGACCAAUACAUUCUCCUCAGGCCCAGAGGAUGGAUGAUGAGCAGGAGUCACAGCAAGGGUAGCUUUUAUUUCCUGCCAGGAGAGGAAGCAGGAACUCCUGGUGAGAAGGUUGACCACUCUGCUCUCUUCAGACAGAAGGGCAACCUGAAGGGGAAUUGCAUCAUUCAACUUCUCAGAGUUGGAAGCCAGUAACACCUAAAGCAACUGCAGAGAUGCACAAGAUGUAAGAGACCUGAAGAAACCUACAGAGACUGUUGGGAUCAAAGAGGCUUUUAAGAGACUGAAGAAACUCAAAGAAAUUCUGAGAAGAUUCAGAUGGCUCCAGCUCCUUUCUAUCCUAGUCUCAUUAAUUCCACCCUCUUCUCAUUCAGGGUAGGGUAUAGAUCUCCAGCAGAGUCUCUUCCCAAUGGAUUUGAGAAUGUUAUUGCAUUUCUUUCUUGGGCCAGAACUCCUUAUGGUCCUUACAAAGAUCAAUUGGGUCAUGGCCAACUAGCAAAGUUAAACUGGCCAGCUGUAUCAAGAACCCUAUCAAUAGGGCAUAUAUAAAAUAACUGUUCAUUAUAAGCAGUGGCAGAAAUGCACAACCAUCAACAGACAUUCCUUGGCAUGAACAUGGCACAGAACACAGUGAAAUAAGCAUGAUGGUAAAUUAAUAAAUAAGUAUAUUCACCCAUCAAAUCAAUAAUUCAUGUGUAGAUAUAAACACAUGCGAUUGUACACAAGGCCCUUAUUAAAUGGGCACUUUCCAGUAUCAUGGCCUAGACAAAUAUAUGAGUCUAUCUUCAGAUUUAUUUAGUAACUUCAUAGCUCAGUCUAAAGGCCCUGGGUCUCUGGUUGCUUCUCUCUGCUGUCCCUGGUGUUGACAUAGAGUGACCAUGAGGAUCAUUAUAGACUUUUUGUCUACACCUGAGCUGGUCAUUAUUACAAGUUUUUUUUUUUUUAAUCAACA